GGGAGAGCCCAGCCUCCGACCCUCCCCGGCCAGCCCGGGCCGCGCAGCGGGGGGCGGGGGCGGUGCCUGCUGCCCGCCCCCUCGGCGCUGCCGGGCGCAUACAGAUGCGGUGCCCCUCCCGGGCCGGGCCCGCAGCGCCUGGAGGGGCACUCGGGCGGGAGGGCUUCUAGGCCACGGCGCCAGGCCGUUUCCGAAGAGCUAGAGGAGAAGGCGCACCCGGGAGCGCGAAGCGGCCCGCACGCCCCCCGCAGCCGGGCGAAGGGCGAGCGCACGCUUCAGAGGGACGGUCCACCAAGAGGCCUCGGUGAUAAUCCAGCUGCGGGUAGAGGAGGGACAAGGACAGUCAGGAUGAAGAUGACAUCACUCCCACCAAAGGAGCCCAGGUGGGGGCAAGGCCACCUCUACUGAGACCUGGGGAGGUACAGGCGCUUCUGCUUCAGGCUCCUUCUCUUCUUCCUCCUCUUCCCUCUGCCCAUUCUCCUGGCCCUCGGAAGGCACCACCUGUAAGAGCCCAUGAGACGCGACUACUGAGCCCACGUGCCACAAC
Molecule: long non-coding RNA, 547 nt
Organism: Balaenoptera musculus (blue whale)
Lineage: Eukaryota; Metazoa; Chordata; Mammalia; Artiodactyla; Balaenopteridae
Exons: 4
Source: RefSeq, a predicted model, not a curated record